UCAAGAAACUUCCACAAUGGGCGAAAGCCUGAUGGAGCGACGUCGCGUGAUGGACGAAGUGCUUCGGCACGUAAACAUCUUUUUAUGUGGGAAGAAAUUAUUGACAGUACCACAUGAAUAAGGGGCUCCUAACUCUGUGCCAGCAGGAGCGGUAAUACAGAGGCCCCAAGCGUUAUCCGGAAUCACUGGGCGUAAAGGGUGUCGAGGCGGUUGUAUUAGUCGUUCGUAAAAUCUACGAGCUUAACUUGUAGGCGGCGAACGAAACGGUACGACUUGAGGUUUGGAGAGGUGCGUGGAACUCACGGUGUAGGGGUGAAAUCCGUUGAUAUCGUGGGGAACACCAAAGGCGAAGGCAGCGCACUGGCCAAAAUCUGACGCUCACACACGAAAGCUAGGGUAGCGAAGAGGAUUAGAUACCCACGUAGUCCCUGAGCGGGCUGGCAAGGCGCAU
Molecule: ribosomal RNA, 451 nt
Filed under: uncultured bacterium
Lineage: Bacteria
Description: bacterial SSU rRNA
Rfam family: Bacterial small subunit ribosomal RNA
Source: RNAcentral